UCCGGUGGCAAUGGCGAAGGGGAUCACCUGUACCCAUCCCGAACACAGAAGUUAAGCCCUUCAGCGCCGAUGGUACUUGGCUGGAAACGGCCCGGGAGAGUAGGUCGCCGCCGGUU
RNAcentral lists this ribosomal RNA (116 nucleotides) under Clostridiales bacterium. Lineage: Bacteria; Bacillati; Bacillota; Clostridia; Eubacteriales. The record is from RNAcentral. RNAcentral also lists the same sequence under 1 other name.